Molecule: ribosomal RNA, 228 nt
Filed under: uncultured bacterium
Lineage: Bacteria
Description: partial 16S ribosomal RNA
Rfam family: Bacterial small subunit ribosomal RNA
Source: RNAcentral
UGAGCAAUCUGCCCUUCUCAUCGGAAUAACCAUUGGAAACGAUGGCUAAUGCCGAAUAUGACCUCGGAUCACAUGUUCUGAGGUGGAAAGCUCCGGCGGAGAAGGAUGAGCUCGCGGCCUAUCAGCUAGUUGGUGUGGGUAACGGCCCACCAAGGCGACGACGGGUAGCCGGCCUGAGAGGGUGACCGGCCACACUGGGACUGAGACACGGCCCAGACCUCUACGGGA